GGGAGUGAAAAAGAACCUGAAACCGUGUACGUACAAGCAGUGGGAGCACCCUUCGGGGUGUGACUGCGUACCUUUUGUAUAAUGGGUCAGCGACUUAUAUUCUGUAGCAAGGUUAACCGAAUAGGGGAGCCGGAGGGAAACCGAGUCUUAAUUGGGCGUUAAGUUGCAGGGUAUAGACCCGAAACCCGGUGAUCUAGCCAUGGGCAGGUUGAAGGUUGGGUAACACUAACUGGAGGACCGAACCGACUAAUGUUGAAAAAUUAGCGGAUGACCUGUGGCUGGGGGUGAAAGGCCAAUCAAACCGGGAGAUAGCUGGUUCUCCCCGAAAGCUAUUUAGGUAGCGCCUCGUGAAUUCAUCUCCGGGGGUAGAGCACUGUUUCGGCUAGGGGGCCAUCCCGGCUUACCAACCCGAUGCAAACUGCGAAUACCGGAGAAUGUUAUCACGGGAGACACACGGCGGGUGCUAACGUCCGUCGUGAAGAGGGAAACAACCCAGACCGCCAGCUAAGGUCCCAAAGUCAUGGUUAAGUGGGAAACGAUGUGGGAAGGCCCAGACAGCCAGGAUGUUGGCUUAGAAGCAGCCAUCAUUUAAAGAAAGCGUAAUAGCUCACUGGUCGAGUCGGCCUGCGCGGAAGAUGUAACGGGGCUAAACCAUGCACCGAAGCUGCGGCAGCGAACGUAUCACCCAAGACAACUUUGCGGAGUUGACGAUUGACGGAGCGAAGCGACGUCAAAGCGUUCAUUAAAGUCGAGUUGGCUUAGGGAUACGUUCGUUGGGUAGGGGAGCGUUCUGUAAGCCUGUGAAGGUAUGCUGUGAGGC
Molecule: ribosomal RNA, 820 nt
Filed under: Salmonella enterica subsp. enterica serovar Indiana
Lineage: Bacteria; Pseudomonadati; Pseudomonadota; Gammaproteobacteria; Enterobacterales; Enterobacteriaceae
Description: partial 23S ribosomal RNA
Rfam family: Bacterial large subunit ribosomal RNA
Source: RNAcentral